UCGUCUUAGGCGAAUGUUGAAGAUAUGAAAGGCUAGAGGAGGUCUCUGAUGAUGAGCUCAUUGCCAAUGUAGGGGAAGAGACAGAAGAAUAAAGGGCACACCGCAUGUUGGUGGCGGUUAGCAUGCUAGUUUGUGAACCACAAGUGCAUGGAUCAUUGUAGUUUUUCCCUUAGAGUAUUCCACCCAAGGUUUAUUAAUCCGUGGAUUGGCAGCGAACUGACUAAGAUUUUCCAUCGAAUCUAAUGGAUCAAUCCUAACAUGAAGUAUUGAUUGCACAUGAGGGAAAACCAGAUGUAAAGAUUAAUGGUUUGAACAAGGGUAGAUCGCAUCCACAGAUAUAUAUGAGACAACAUCACCAAGAGCAGCAAGAGUCUAUCAUCUUCUAGUUGCAGUUCUAACCAAUGAGCCAACACAUCAUGCAUGUCAUCCAAAGCAAUCUUUAAACUAUUACCUUCGAUCAACCUCCUGAAAAU
RNAcentral lists this long non-coding RNA (473 nucleotides) under Setaria viridis. RNAcentral's name for it is "long non-coding RNA (SVIR_LNC004645)". The record is from RNAcentral. Lineage: Eukaryota; Viridiplantae; Streptophyta; Magnoliopsida; Poales; Poaceae.